Molecule: ribosomal RNA, 1051 nt
Filed under: Murispora cicognanii
Lineage: Eukaryota; Fungi; Ascomycota; Dothideomycetes; Pleosporales; Amniculicolaceae
Description: SSU rRNA
Rfam family: Eukaryotic small subunit ribosomal RNA
Source: RNAcentral
AGCCAUGCAUGUCUAAGUAUAAGCAAAUUAUACGUGAAACUGCGAAUGGCUCAUUAAAUCAGUUAUCGUUUAUUUGAUAGUACCUUACUACAUGGAUAACCGUGGUAAUUCUAGAGCUAAUACAUGCUAAAAACCCCAACUUCGGGAGGGGUGUAUUUAUUAGAUAAAAAACCAAUGCCCUUCGGGGCUCUUUGGUGAUUCAUAGUAACUUAACGGAUCGCAUGGCCUUGCGCCGGCGACGGUUCAUUCAAAUUUCUGCCCUAUCAACUUUCGAUGGUAAGGUAUUGGCUUACCAUGGUUUCAACGGGUAACGGGGAAUUAGGGUUCGAUUCCGGAGAGGGAGCCUGAGAAACGGCUACCACAUCCAAGGAAGGCAGCAGGCGCGCAAAUUACCCAAUCCCGACACGGGGAGGUAGUGACAAUAAAUACUGAUACAGGGCUCUUUUGGGUCUUGUAAUCGGAAUGAGUACAAUUUAAACCCCUUAACGAGGAACAAUUGGAGGGCAAGUCUGGUGCCAGCAGCCGCGGUAAUUCCAGCUCCAAUAGCGUAUAUUAAAGUUGUUGCAGUUAAAAAGCUCGUAGUUGAACCUUGGGCCUGGCUGGCUGGUCCGCCUCACCGCGUGUACUGGUCCGGCCGGGCCUUUCCUUCUGGAGAACCCCAUGCCCUUCACUGGGUGUGUGGGGGAACCAGGACUUUUACUGUGAAAAAAUUAGAGUGUUCAAAGCAGGCCUUUGCUCGAAUACGUUAGCAUGGAAUAAUAGAAUAGGACGUGCGGUUCUAUUUUGUUGGUUUCUAGGACCGCCGUAAUGAUUAAUAGGGAUAGUCGGGGGCAUCAGUAUUCAAUUGUCAGAGGUGAAAUUCUUGGAUUUAUUGAAGACUAACUACUGCGAAAGCAUUUGCCAAGGAUGUUUUCAUUAAUCAGUGAACGAAAGUUAGGGGAUCGAAGACGAUCAGAUACCGUCGUAGUCUUAACCGUAAACUAUGCCGACUAGGGAUCGGGCGAUGUUUCUAUCUUGACUCGCUCGGCACCUUACGAGAAAUCAAAGUUUU